Molecule: non-coding RNA, 797 nt
Organism: Paramuricea clavata
Lineage: Eukaryota; Metazoa; Cnidaria; Anthozoa; Malacalcyonacea; Plexauridae
Source: the annotation of a GenBank genome assembly
CUCCAAACUGAAUUUAAUUAUUUAAACUCGAUAGUGAAUACGAUAUACAAGCUUUUACUUUAAGUCAUUAUGCAUUUGUGACGUAAAUUCCGGAUAUUUGCAUACCAAAAAACCCCUGAAAUAUCUCAGAAAGAAGGUGGAUGAGCAAAUAAAAAUCUUCAAAAUAAGUUAUUAUGUCAUUUCCGAAAUUCUUAUGAAUGAGAUGAUAAAACGAAUUGAGAUUAGGUGCACUUUAACAGUAACAAUUGAACAGUGGCAUGGAUUAAUACAUUGUCGGAAGAUUCUGCAUCUCUAUUGUUCUGGCAAUAUCAGUCAUAACCAAUUAUGUUGUUUUCACUUUAUUUUGAUCAAGUCAGUCCGGUUAGUGUUUUGUAUAGCCAUAAAAUAUCAAUAGUUUUUGACUCAGAUAGUUUCUGAAUUAUCGUGCUGACAUAAGCGCGGAUGAAAUAUCUGUAUUUCUAUGUGUGUGCACGUGACUGGCGAAGGUAUUUCAACCUACCAUGCACCUACCACCUCUCAUAUCUGUGCUUAUAUAUGCAAGAAAGUAAUGAGUUGGAGGUGGGGUAUUGCACGCAUAAUAUUUCAUGCCCUUUAUAUGGUAAUGCUGAAGUUAAUAAGUAUAUUUGUGCUUGUGCGAAGUGCUGUGAAUAUAUGUUUCGAAGAACCGUGUUGAAUGCUCGAUAAAAGUUAUCUUUUCAACCAGGUUAACUUCAACAAAUAUGUCAGAUGAUUUGUAAUCAUAAUGUUGUGCCUGGAUUACAAAUCUUCGGAUAUAUUUGUUUCUAUAUAUAUAUAUA